UUGCAGGUUUCUAUUCUUGUUUUGUUUGUUUGUUUAUUUAUUUAUGUGUAUAUAUAUUUAUUUAUUUAGAAAGUAAUGCCGCUUACAUGCAUUACGUUCCUAAAUAUGUGCAUUGUACUUUUUUGCUUCUCUGCGAGAGGGGCAAAUAAAGAAUAUAUGCAAAUAGCUAGUAAAAUAUUAUCACAUUUGAACCUUUUUUAUGUGGACAGAAUUAUUAAACAUGGACUAAUAUUCGACAUAGGUAUAUAAUGUCAUUUCUGAUUAUUACAGAAUCCUUUCGUAAAGUCACCAUAAUGAAAUAAUGUCAUGCACUGUGCAAUAUUUACCUGCCUAUAGGCAUCAUGUCAGAGUUUAAGCUCAGUAAUUGAAAUCAAUGCUAAUGUGUAAAAAUGCUUUGAGUAGCUAAUGUGAUUUUAAUAUGGCAACAUGCGUAGGAAAAACUUACUGUUUAAAUCACUGUUUUUCUCUAGAGUUUUUUUUGUUUGUUUUUUAAUUCAAAGUCUUGCGAAACCAUAUUUAUUCACAAUUUUGUAAAAUGCCCAAACUGUGAAAGUCUGUAGUAAUUAAGCAUGGAGGACUACAUGGAGUUGUUUUCAUUUUGAGGUAUAUAUUUUUUUCUCCUGAGACUGAAUUCCUCAGACACCAGAGAAGCAGUUUAAACUUGCACUGCAACAUGAGUGUUAAAGCAGCAUCACUAAAUCAUGGAUCACCAAGAAGGUUCACCAGCCUCUCAUUCUAUCCUAUCUGCAUUUCCCUUGCCAGCUGCAGAGCCUAAAUGAAAUUUAUUAGGCUUUGGAGUAACUAAUCAUCUCUGUGUGGUAAUUACGGAUUAGCCUCUCAUCGGGGGAUGCUGCCGCUGAGGGCUGGCCCGGGUUUUCCAGUUGGUAUAAGAGCUUGUGGAAGCUAUGGGUUUGCCAAAACAUCAUACACUGAUGUACAGUUUCAGAAGGCUCUGGGGCGCUCCCGAGCCUCGCUUUGGACCAACGCUGGCGUUUUCAGUGCAGCAUUAAUGAUGUCGUCUAGAAAUGCUGCAGACAUGUUUGAGGGAUUUAUGAAAGAGAAGCUGGGUCCCUUUAGACAGCAGCAGAAUGCGCCAUCUCUGGAGCUGCUGUGCUGUCAGGGAGCCAGUGCAGUUGUGCUGUAAAAGAAAGUCUCGCUUGCCAACUCAUGUGCCAGGAAGAGAAGUAGAAGGAAAUAGAAAUAGCAGAUAGCUACAGAAGAACAAUGUCUUUCUUUUUCUUUUUCUUUUUCUUUCUUUUUUUUUUUCUGAUGAGGAAACUUUAAUGAUGUGCCGCUUUGAAAGCAUCUGGUGAUGAAAACCCAAUAAUUCUCAGAUGUAUACAUGGACAUAUGCAAACAUAUACACACGUCCUGUAGAUCCAAAACCGCCGGUGCAUCUCUGUACUCUCCGUGGAGCAGCGCUUUCCCAUAGCUCUCGUCUGAUAGGAGCCCACAGUUGUGGAGUUUUCCUGCUGAAAGAUGCGUUAUUACUCUCCAAAGCCUGCAUAUAAACCAGCAGAGACUUUCACUGUCAGGGUUUCAGGAUCUCAGAAAUCCCCCUUGUCUGAUUUCUUUAUAAAUUAAAGCAAAACCGUCAAGCAGAUGCCAGAAUCUGCACAUUAAAAGAAUUAAAGCAUCAUUUUUGUCUACUAAUUACUUUUCACUUCAAGGGAUCAAAACAAAUUGAAAUGCAGGGGUCUCUCUAGGUUUUGAGAGGGCUUAGGUGCUGACUGGGUUCGGGAGGGUGGUAAUGGUUGGGGGUUUUGAAGUUAUUAAGAAAUGAUUAUGAAAUUUGAAGUUAUUUUAAGUUUUAUUAUCAUACAUUAUUCAUUCAUGAACCUUAACAUUAUUCAUUAUCCUUACCGUAUUUGUGAAAGAAAGCUGACAACACUUAUUCUACUUACAGUUAAAGGUCUAUUCAUUUCACCAAAUAACACAUUUGAGAUUUAAUGAAAAUGAAUGCCUUUUUAUAUUAAUUCGGCUUAAGGUGCGCCACAAAAACACUUAGGUGCCACACCUAAGCCUUUCCUAUGGUAAGGAAAACAUUGAAAUGAAUUUACUGUAACUGAUUAUUCCAAAAAUAAUAAUAAACAGCAUCAAUCACAACAGUAAGUACUAUUAAGUAAUCCAUCAUGUAUCAAAUCAAAGAUCUGUUUACAUGAAGUAGAUAAAAAUGUCCUUUUAAUCCUAUCUGUUUUCUUUUACAAAUGUGAUAUAAGGUUUAAUAUGCAGCUAUA
Ictalurus punctatus (channel catfish) is the source of this 2237-nucleotide long non-coding RNA. RefSeq lists it as uncharacterized. The record is from RefSeq and is a predicted model, not a curated record. Lineage: Eukaryota; Metazoa; Chordata; Actinopteri; Siluriformes; Ictaluridae. The transcript is spliced from 3 exons.